This 1930-nucleotide long non-coding RNA is filed under the name Sus scrofa (pig). RNAcentral's name for it is "lncRNA (ENSSSCG00070020127.1)". Lineage: Eukaryota; Metazoa; Chordata; Mammalia; Artiodactyla; Suidae. The record is from RNAcentral.
UACCAGACUUGCAGUCCUUCUCCACAGCUGUGUUCUUUGCCGAUCGCAGAUUGCAGUCCUUUGUGAUUCCAGGAUAAAUCCAUUUUGCUGGUAAAAUAACUGGCUGUUUCCUUGUUUUAGGUUAGCAACCCCCUCCCAAGGCCAAGGCCACACCUGCUUCAAAGCAGGCUUGAAGAGCAGACUGGAAGCCUCCUAUGACGGAAGCUAGGUUCUUUGGGACUCAGUGACCUCUGUGCUGAGUGGAUACUCCUUCAGAAAGGCUUUUCCUUUGUUCUUCCAGAGACCCAGCGCCUCGUCUGUUUCCCUACGUGUGGCUCUAGGUGGCCUGAAAAAAGCAAGUUAUCCUGACGGCAUCUUCAGCUGCACGACUUGCUGACCAGCCCCGUGCUCGGCCUGAGAGAGGGAACCUUAGUAGAGGAUGUACCGGGGCCAGAGCCGGAGAAGGACGUUUUGGACCCAUGGGCGCGCCUGUUCACAGACGCAGAGGCUCGGAGAGCCUGCGUGUCCAGGACGACGCGUAUCAGGAGAGGGGGUCCCUGGCUGUGUUCCCGCUCUGUCCUCCCUAUAGCUCCCCGCACACCCGGAUGUGGCCCCGUGGAGCCGGCCCCCGGGGGCCCGGCAGCUCUCAGAGCGUCUGAGAUGCUGGUCUCCCUGGAAGGCUGCUUCCUCUGCUCAAAGUGGCCCUCCGUUUCUCACUUUUCUGUUUCGAAGGCUGCAUACGAGUGUACCUUCGGCAUGCGUCUCUUUUGGAGAACCUGUCACCUUGAAAGUCGUGCUGCCCAUACAGCAACCCCCCCCCCAGCAUGGGGAGGGGCCCUUCCCAAAGCCAGUGACCAAGAAAGAAUGCUUUUCUCGCUUGCUGAAGCCGAAGCCCUUCCCAGCCUGUGGGCUCUCACUCCCUCUGCCCCGGGUUCUGACGGCUUCUGGUGACCGGCAGCCCCGUCUGUCCCUUCACGCUCUCCCCGGUGGGACCGGGGGCCUCCACGGCCUGGGCCUGCUCGUCUCGGUCUGACCUCCGGAGGUCACCUCUCAGUCGCUCUCCUGAAACCACCUGCAGGUCUCCUGGCCUUGUGGCCUUGUGGGUGAUCUCAGGGCCCCCCAUUUCUGCUCCUCCCCAUGGACUGCUCCUGGGUCCUCUUCCAGAAAGCUCUCUGAGUCUCUGCAAGUGUUGGAGGCACUGUCUCAACCAGGACCCCCUUUCUCUCCUGCCUUCAGGGACUGUCCCCAGCUGCCAGCAUGCCCACUUUAUUUGCGCUCACACGGCCUCGAGCAGGUACCCCUGCCCUCUGGUCUCCAGAGAGUGACUGUUGGGAGCAAACGUUCUUGCCACGUCCUGGCUCCUUCCAACCCGUGCGUGUGCUGCCCAUCGCUUGGCCUUCUCCCUGGCCGUGCCGCGGCCCCCGCUCUGGAUCCCGGGCCGUUCUGCCUGCGUGAGGACCUCACCGCACCAGCGGGGCCCCACCUCCUGCCCCCGUCCGUCACCCCCCUGGCUCCCCAGUCCCAGCAGAUACAGGCUCCCAAGCCUUUACCUUCGCAGGGAGCUGCGCACGUGGGCCCUUGAGCUGUCUUUUCUGAACACCGCCCUCUCACAGCCAGAGAGGAGCCAGCACACUGGUGACGGCCUGCCCCCGCUCACUCCAACUCCUCAUCCCGCAGAAAGGCCCAUCACCCAGUCACUGAAAGUGCUCCCCAGCGGAUCACCCGAGGCCCGCCAGAUCCAAAUUUAGGAAUUCUCCACAUACACACCUUGACGCCUCAUUUAUUUCAUACCCUACGAAAACCAUCCUCCUUGCGAAGAGACGCCAAGGUCAGGUUGCCGUGGUAACGCUCACGUUCUUGGCCACCUGCCCGCCCGAACCAGAGGGAUGCCCCCAGAGCCCGGUCCAGAAUGUGAGUGGGAAGCAGUGGGAAGACACUGCUCCUGGGCACG